CAGCAAUCUGUCUGCCUCAGCCUCCCAAAGUGUUGGGAUUACAGCAUUUGACAAAUAUUGUGCCAUUUCCUUCUGGCCUCCAUGGUUUCUCAUGAUAAAUCUGCUGUCAAUGAAAUUGUUUCUUCCACCACUUUCCACUCACCACCCAAAAUAGGAUCACUGGAAGAUGAAAAAGCAUUUUAUUUUUCCUUCCACUCUGCUUUUUCCAGAAGCCGGAAGUAAAGACAGCUGUGAUCAACUGGGUCAUGAUGGAAUGGCUUUCUGCCAUGAAUAUUCAGGGAGACUCGCCUGUGCCAUGGAGGUUGAUGAUGGAUGGGGGAGCAGGAAGAGCCUGGGAUCUUUAGGACCUCGAAGGGAAUGGAUCGAUAGUCGGAACAAACAUGGACUUUCUCUUUGCCCCCUGCUUCGAUCACUUCCUAUCUGACAGCAGCAGUGGAAGUGCUAUAACCAGCCGACAGUGGGCAUGAGAGGGGACUAAGGAUGAAACUGGGCUUCCUGAGAGGGAGAAGUGGAGCACGCACCCAGGGACACUUCCCGCCCAGCCUGAUGACAUGUGACCAGGGGCCGCCAAGGAAAGCGUGCCCUGAACACCGAGAUGAGAGAAUGAUGGGGUCCCACCAUCCAUGGGAAAUGAGUGGGGGUCUGCGCAGAGGCUGGAGGUGCAGCCUAAGAAGACCAACUCAAACUCAGCUGUUAAAGAUUCCCCAAAGCAUCUGAGACAUCAUCCGGGGUGCAGCCCAACAGAAGACGUUUAAGAUGGGGCCAGAAAGAAGACUGUAUAGCUCUUCUGUAAAUAAACGAAUGGUCUGCCCCAAGCCUUCGGGAAGGAGAAUGGACUAUAGUGACUGGGGAAAGUUCUCUUUGCAGGCUAAGAGAUCUGGCCAGCAUGUUGAUAACUGAGAAGGCUGGGGAGCUGGAGGACAAUGGAGUGGUUCCUGCACGAGUCACCAGGGAGGCUUAUGCAAGCUACACAGCAGUAAGGGGUUGCUGGAGAAAGCAGGAUCCUGACUCCCUGCUACCCAUUCACGCGCAUCCACAUGACAGGGGUUUGGUCAUGAUCCACCGAGCACUGGGUAUGACUGAGAUGUCCAGAGCAGAUGAAGAAUGGCCUAGGAACCACUGCAGUAUCAGCUGCAUAGAGUUAUUGUGACCUUUUACAAGAGCUAUUUUUUUUUUUUAAAGAGAUCAGUGAGUACAACAGGCUCAGAAGGGCAACACGCUGUUAAGCAUGAUGCUGUGUAUAGCACAUGCCACUACUACUUGUGACCAGGUGUGGGAGGACGUCACUGCCGAGAGCCAGGCUGUCCAGCCUUAGAGAAAUACGCUGCCGCUAUAAUGCAGAGUGAGCAGGAGAGAGAAGAAAGGGAAACCGAACACCACGGAACAUCUGUCCAAGUCUGCACAGUGUGUUGUAAUAAUCUCAAAAAUACAAGCCAUCUUUUCCAUAUAACUCAAUAAAUAUCACUUUGCUGUAAAAGAUUUAUUUUGGAGAGACUUCUUUUGGUGAAAAGCUUCAAUGCUAGAAUUUAGAGUUCAUAUUUCAUCAAUUAAUAAAGAAAUUUCAAAGCUUCAGGAUACAUAAUUCAGAAAUUUAUUUUAAGCUUUUCAGUUAAGCGGAACGUGGGGUGGGCACAUUUGUUUCUUGUUUUUGUUGCACCUGCUAAGUCAAAUAACAAGUGAAAGUAAAUCUAAAGUUAGAAACCAAGGUGAAAUGAAUGAUCCAGGAAGGGAUACCAU
Chlorocebus sabaeus (green monkey) is the source of this 1737-nucleotide long non-coding RNA. RefSeq lists it as uncharacterized. The record is from RefSeq and is a predicted model, not a curated record. NCBI's taxonomy places the organism in Eukaryota, Metazoa, Chordata, Mammalia, Primates, Cercopithecidae.